Molecule: long non-coding RNA, 271 nt
Organism: Sinocyclocheilus anshuiensis
Lineage: Eukaryota; Metazoa; Chordata; Actinopteri; Cypriniformes; Cyprinidae
Exons: 3
Source: RefSeq, a predicted model, not a curated record
CUGUCAGUCUGUUGCUGCUGUGUGUUUUGUGGGGUGACAGUCAGCCUGUACACACUGCUGCUCACACUGUCAGAGAGAUGAUAGAGCUCCUGACAGCGAUGACUCCAGUCAAUGAGCAGGAGGAACAGGACACAGAGCUGAUGGACUCUCCUGAGGUUCUGUGGCCUAAUACUGAGGAUCUGGAGAAGAGAGACCUGCCACGUCUUGGAGUAGCAAUUCAUAGAGCCUUACCCUCAAGAGUCCACAGCAGUAAGUCCGUAGAUGCACCUAG